This 382-nucleotide ribosomal RNA is filed under the name Bathycoccus sp. Its description in RNAcentral is "partial small subunit ribosomal RNA". It matches the Rfam family "Eukaryotic small subunit ribosomal RNA", at positions 582 to 975 of the family's 1831-position model. Lineage: Eukaryota; Viridiplantae; Chlorophyta; Mamiellophyceae; Mamiellales; Bathycoccaceae. The record is from RNAcentral.
AUUCCAGCUCCAAUAGCGUAUAUUUAAGUUGUUGCAGUUAAAAAGCUCGUAGUUGGAUUUUGGUUAAGAGGGCGCGGUCGGCCGUUUGGUCUGUACUGCGUUGUCUUGACUUCCUGAUGAGGACAUGCUCUUGGUUAACGCUGAGACAUGGAGUCAUCGUGGUUACUUUGAAAAAAUUAGAGUGUUCAAAGCGGGCUUACGCUUGAAUAUAUUAGCAUGGAAUAACACUAUAGGACUCCUGUCCUAUCUCGUUGGUCUCGGGAUGGGAGUAAUGAUUAAGAGGAACAGUUGGGGGCAUUCGUAUUUCAUUGUCAGAGGUGAAAUUCUUGGAUUUAUGAAAGACGAACUUCUGCGAAAGCAUUUGCCAAGGAUGUUUUCAUCG